Molecule: ribosomal RNA, 868 nt
Filed under: uncultured archaeon
Lineage: Archaea
Description: bacterial SSU rRNA
Rfam family: Archaeal small subunit ribosomal RNA
Source: RNAcentral
CUCCGGUUGAUCCUGCCGGACCCGACUGCUAUCAGAGUGGGACUAAGCCAUGCGAGUCAACAUAGCAAUAUGUGGCAUACGGCUCAGUAACACGUAGUCAACAUGCCCAGGGGACGUGGAUAACCUCGGGAAACUGAGGAUAAACCGCGAUAGGCCAAGGUUUCUGGAAUGGACACUGGCUGAAACCUAUAUGGCCCCUGGAUUGGACUGCGGCCGAUCAGGCUGUUGGUGAGGUAAUGGCCCACCAAACCUGUAACCGGUACGGGCUUUGAGAGAAGGAGCCCGGAGAUGGGCACUGAGACAAGGGCCCAGGCCCUAUGGGGCGCAGCAGGCGCGAAACCUCUGCAAUAGGCGAAAGCUUGACAGGGUUACUCUGAGUGAUGCCCGCUAAGGGCAUCUUUUGGCACCUCUAAAAAUGGUGCAGAAUAAGGGGUGGGCAAGUCUGGUGUCAGCCGCCGCGGUAAUACCAGCACCCCGAGUGGUCGGGACGAUUAUUGGGCCUAAAGCAUCCGUAGCUUGUUUUGCAAGUCCUCCGUUAAAUCCACCUGCUCAACAGAUGGGCCGCGGAGGAUACUACAGGGCUAGGAGGCGGGAGAGGCAAGCGGUACUCAGUGGGUAGGGGUAAAAUCCUCUGAUCCACUGAAGACCACCAGUGGCGAAGGCGGCUUGCCAGAACGCGCUCGACGGUGAGGGAUGAAAGCUGGGGGAGCAAACCGGAUUAGAUACCCGGGUAGUCCCAGCUGUAAACGAUGCAGACUCGGUGAUGGGUUGGCUUUGAGCCAACCCAGUGCCGCAGGGAAGCCGUUAAGUCUGCCGCCUGGGGAGUACGGUCGCAAGACUGAAACUUAAAGGAAUUGGCGGGGGAGCA